UCCUUUUUCUCCCUUCACAAAAUGACCCGGCACUUUCCCUUUUCUCCUCAAAGCGAUCCAAAACCAGACGAUUCCAAAGAGCAACGUUAAUGACAUCUUCAGGGCGCCUCCUAUGCAGCGACGAGUGAUCAACGAAAAAAACCCCUACAUGUGAUUCAUCACCGCCACGCGACGUCAAAUAAAGGGAGGGUGACUUCCAAUGUCUCCUUCUUUAGGGAGGUACAAUUUGGGGCAGCCUUUUAACGAUUUCAGCUUGCUUUUCCUGUGAUAAUCUUCUGCAAACUCGUCCUUUCCCUCGUGGCUAAGAGCCACGUAGCACUCAAGGACGAGCUGAUGAAUCCCAGCCAUCCGUCCCCCUUCCUAUUUUGGGAAUGAUUUUUAAUUUUGCAGAAAAGGGUGUUUAGCAAAAAUAGUGAAAGAUUUUUUAAUUAAAACUAGUUGAAGAUUCCGAGUUUUGCGUCUCCCUUUCCCCCCAGUCUCAACCUAAUUCUCCUCCUAUAUAACAUAGCUUCCUGUUCAUCAAAAGGGGCAGAAUUUUUUUUUCAAGGAGUGAGGCAAGGAAAACCAAAGACUAAUCUUCAUCCUACUAAAACAAUAGCUUAAAAUAGAUAUAAUACAUACCUUUGGAGAGAGCAUAAAAGAGUAUCAAUUCUAUCCUUGCACUUUUCCUCUAAUUCUCUCUACAUAAACUCGCCUGGAGUAAAGGUUCCAUCCAUCGUUUUGUUUGUGUGUCGUGCUUGUGUUAGUGUAUGUGUUCGUGUGGUCAAAAGAAGCUCAUCCCUGGUCGUACUAUCCCUGAAUCGCUGCAUUUAGAAAGAAUUUACUCCAUUUCUUGCACUACCUUGUUGAGCCAUAAAUGCUCAAAUUAUCCUCUCCGAGUCGGCCAGCCCCUCUAAAUGGUGUACAGGUUGAGAACAAUAAAAGAAAAUGCUGGAAAUUAAGCUUUCCAACACCAAAAAGGCAAAUACAUUCGUUAUACCAACUGUAUACACUGGUAUACAGUCAGAAUAUACAUUAUAUGGGUACAGAAAAUGUGAAUACUCAGGUCAAAAGUACAGUGGAUAACGUUUCAAAAAAUGCAAGCCUUGAAAGGUCCAAAUGGGUCGGAUAUGCCAUGUAUACAGCAGUAUACACAAAUUGUAUACAUAUCUUUUUAAGGCAAACAAGCCCAAUGUUUAAGUGCAGGUUCAAAGGAAAAAUGGCCUAGGACCCACAUAGACAUAGGAUAGGGAAGAGGUUGGGCCCAUCAGAUUUGUGGAUUAGGGCUGAUUAGCCGAAAUUAAAUUUUCUAUCCCCUCUCCCUCUCUUUAUUUAUUCAUGUUUGACUAAUAUUUUGGUUUCAAUUUAAUUAAUUCUAAACUAUAGCCAUUUUAUUUAUAUUUAUAUACAAAUACUCAAAAUUUAUUUAUACAUA
Solanum lycopersicum (tomato) is the source of this 1414-nucleotide long non-coding RNA. RefSeq lists it as uncharacterized. Lineage: Eukaryota; Viridiplantae; Streptophyta; Magnoliopsida; Solanales; Solanaceae. The record is from RefSeq and is a predicted model, not a curated record.